This is a long non-coding RNA of Ipomoea nil (Japanese morning glory), 142 nucleotides long. RefSeq lists it as uncharacterized. The record is from RefSeq and is a predicted model, not a curated record. The transcript is spliced from 2 exons. Lineage: Eukaryota; Viridiplantae; Streptophyta; Magnoliopsida; Solanales; Convolvulaceae.
UUAAGGAAUUCCUUAUUCUCUCAGAGAUAGCAAAAGUUGUGAACACAUUGACGGAUGAAGAAAAGCAGAGAAACAACCUUGGACUUGAUAUGCUAUUUGUUCAUGGAUCACAUCCUUUAGGUGGAAAGAUCUUUUCAUUCUG